CAUCAGAAAGUUACAUUUGGCCCAGGUAUUGGCAGGUUUUCUGUCAGGUAGCUUUCUGCUGUUUUUCUACAUGCUUCACUAGGCUUUUCAUUGAACAAUAAUAAGAUGAAAAAACAGUAGAAAUAUCAGAUUAUGAAGAAUUGCAAAUUAUCCCUGCAAAGCUUUGAACUGCCAACAAUAAUGAGGAACUUUCAUCAUUGCAGAACCAAGUUGAAAAUUCUGAGUGAAGAAGGUGGAUAAAUGCUGGCUGCGCUCACUCACGAGAUCCAUUGUGGUGUCACCUGGAUGAUCUGUUGGUAGCCCCUCUAAAUUUUCUAAGUUCUUUAAUUAAAUCAUAUCACCUUCCAGUUGUCCCUUGGAUUACAUCAGUGGCAUAGAGAGGGGGGAUCCUGCUGCUGGGCAUCAGCUGUUUCCUCAAAUUCACUUGCCCAGAUCUGCACCCUGGAGAACAUAGGCUCUCAAGAAAAUACAUGCCUGUGUUACCAGACUGAUAUCUGCAUACUGCUGCUCAGAGUGUGGAAAGGAGUGGAACUCCUGGAUUGGAUUGUAUGGCCACAGAACACACUGCAUGAAUCAGUCCAAUGGAGGCACAAACCCAUGAUCCAAUGGGAUCGAAUGAUGCCUACAUCAUCAUCCAUGUCAUUUGCGUAAGAAUGUUUUUGUAAAAAAAGUUUCAAAAGAUUAGAAUGCAUCUCAUGUCUCAGAAGCUGUUCAACAUUUUGUAAAUAUGUGUGUAGUGUGUUUAGAAUAUAAUAUUGCUAAAUCAACUGCUUCUCCUGUAAAAUCAAUACAAAGACCCUGGAAUACA
Protopterus annectens (West African lungfish) is the source of this 808-nucleotide long non-coding RNA. RefSeq lists it as uncharacterized. The record is from RefSeq and is a predicted model, not a curated record. The transcript has 3 exons. Lineage: Eukaryota; Metazoa; Chordata; Ceratodontiformes; Protopteridae.